UCUGGUGGCGAUGGCGAGAAGGCCACACCCGUUCCCAUGCCGAACACGGAAGUUAAGCUUCUCAGCGCCGAUGGUAGUUGGGGCACUGCCCCUGCGAGAGUAGGACGCUGCCAGGC
RNAcentral lists this ribosomal RNA (116 nucleotides) under Bacillus methanolicus PB1. Lineage: Bacteria; Bacillati; Bacillota; Bacilli; Caryophanales; Bacillaceae. The record is from RNAcentral.